This 694-nucleotide ribosomal RNA is filed under the name uncultured bacterium. RNAcentral's name for it is "bacterial SSU rRNA". It matches the Rfam family "Bacterial small subunit ribosomal RNA", at positions 32 to 715 of the family's 1533-position model. The record is from RNAcentral.
AACGCUAGCUACAGGCUUAACACAUGCAAGUCGAGGGGCAGCAUGGUCUUAGCUUGCUAAGGCCGAUGGCGACCGGCGCACGGGUGAGUAACACGUAUCCAACCUGCCGUCUACUCUUGGACAGCCUUCUGAAAGGAAGAUUAAUACAAGAUGGCAUCAUGAGUCCACAUGUUCACAUGAUUAAAGGUAUUCCGGUAGACGAUGGGGAUGCGUUCCAUUAGAUAGUAGGCGGGGUAACGGCCCACCUAGUCUUCGAUGGAUAGGGGUUCUGAGAGGAAGGUCCCCCACAUUGGAACUGAGACACGGUCCAAACUCCUACGGGAGGCAGCAGUGAGGAAUAUUGGUCAAUGGGCGAGAGCCUGAACCAGCCAAGUAGCGUGAAGGAUGACUGCCCUAUGGGUUGUAAACUUCUUUUAUAAAGGAAUAAAGUCGGGUAUGCAUACCCGUUUGCAUGUACUUUAUGAAUAAGGAUCGGCUAACUCCGUGCCAGCAGCCGCGGUAAUACGGAGGAUCCGAGCGUUAUCCGGAUUUAUUGGGUUUAAAGGGAGCGUAGAUGGAUGUUUAAGUCAGUUGUGAAAGUUUGCGGCUCAACCGUAAAAUUGCAGUUGAUACUGGAUAUCUUGAGUGCAGUUGAGGCAGGCGGAAUUCGUGGUGUAGCGGUGAAAUGCUUAGAUAUCACGAAGAACUCCGAUUG